RNAcentral lists this long non-coding RNA (1070 nucleotides) under Capsella rubella. RNAcentral's name for it is "long non-coding RNA (CRUB_LNC001413)". Lineage: Eukaryota; Viridiplantae; Streptophyta; Magnoliopsida; Brassicales; Brassicaceae. The record is from RNAcentral.
UCGAUUUUCAUCUCCUAAAAAAAUCUUCUACACAUUCUUGUUACCUCACUCUCAAUUUUCUACGGAACGAAUCUUUUACUGUUUUACACGAUACCUCACUUACGGUUUGAGUAAGCAACAUUAACUUGCUAAAGUUUCGAUUUUUGUUUCUUUUUGUUGCUGUUGUAGUUAUUGUUUAGAGAAUGAUGAUUUGGGAGUUUUAGAACUUUUUGAGAUUGAUGGGGUUUUUUAGAUCUAACAAUGAAUUAUCAAUUUAAGAGUAUAAUGCUAGUGUUUUGUUUUUGUGACCCUAGGACCAUCUGUUGGUGAAGGAGAUCAAGUUUUUAGGAAUUGUUCACAUCUUUGUUCACAUUAUCAUUGUAAGUGGUUUUUAUUCAAUCUAGUGUGGGUUUUUUUUAUGUUUGUGAGAUGUUUAUGUUUGUGUGGUACACUGGUUAUGAUUGUUUUGAGUUACGAUUGUUCUUUUUUUUCAGUGACAUUGUAUAAGUGCAUCUACUUUAGUCUUUACUUAGGAGUUAGGAGUAAACAUCAAAACUAUUAAUUAGCCUCUCUUCAGCUUAUUUUUCAUUACUGUUGUGUACUUGUGUUGAUGCAGCCUGGAUCUGGUUCGGUUCGGUUCAAAAUGAACAAUGUAAGUUAUUUUUUACAAUGUUGUUUCAAAGACUUUCAAAUUUUAUACGUAUACUUAACAAGUUACUACUUACCACAAAAUUUUGGUGGGUUAAUUUGUCUUUCACUUUCUUUUUUACAUUGAAAUUGAUAUCAACCUAAAACUGAAAUUCGGACUCCACAAAAAACCACAAAGACUGUCAAAGAGCUAUAGUAGUAAAGAAAAACAGUUUAUUCUCAUAACGCAUUAAAAAAGAGAAAUAAACUUCUUUAUAUUUUUUAACGCCAGAAAGAAUUUGAUGUGUUUAUAUGUAGUCGCAUAUUUCAAAUAUUGUGACCAUUCUGAAGAACAACUAUUGUUUCGAGUAUCGUCUCGUUUCUUCCCCUGUAUCCGAUUAUGUUUGUAAGUACACUGGUACAAGCAAGUAAACCAAAAAUUACAUAAGAGACAUGUUGUAGAU